RNAcentral lists this small nuclear RNA (23 nucleotides) under Arabidopsis thaliana (thale cress). Its description in RNAcentral is "snRNA_12037". Lineage: Eukaryota; Viridiplantae; Streptophyta; Magnoliopsida; Brassicales; Brassicaceae. The record is from RNAcentral.
CGGAUGCUAACGCAAUGUGAUUU